Long non-coding RNA from Lutra lutra (Eurasian river otter), 723 nucleotides. RefSeq lists it as uncharacterized. The transcript is spliced from 3 exons. NCBI's taxonomy places the organism in Eukaryota, Metazoa, Chordata, Mammalia, Carnivora, Mustelidae. The record is from RefSeq and is a predicted model, not a curated record.
GAGGCUGGGCGGAGCCGGAGUUCAGGCCCCGCCCCGCGCAGGCUCCACCCCGGCCCCGCCCCGCGCCCUAAAGCAGCUAGAUGGGAUGUCCGGGCGCCCUGCUACAUGGAUUUUUGAAUCGGGCCGAUUUAGGCCCUCCUGGCUUUGCUUCCACCUCGCUGUGUGACCUAGGGUCGCAUUCAUCCUUACACCCCAACUUCCAGUUCAGUGCUUGACAUACAGCAGGAGCUCAAUAAAUGCCCGCUCCUUCAUUCCAUCUGUCCGACCGACGGGCCGAGCGGCAGCGGGCUCAGUACUGCAACCGGCCAGCAGAGGGCAGGCGGUGACCAGCUUUCUGGCCCAGCUGACCGUCCUCUCCGCCAGCAGGCGCCACGGGAGGGGACAGGUGAACCUAGGUGCGCCGACUUCUGAAGAAUCCGUGGGCCCGCGAGCCACGGCCGAGGCGUCAGGCUAGGGCACGACCUUGCCCUUCGGAUCUGUAGCUCGCGGCCUGACCUGGAUCAGAGACCCCUCUGCCAAUCUGUAUGGAUGUACGGAUCCUGCAAAGAUGCACUGAGAAGAAUCUGGAGGAAUCCCUCAAGCGGGCCUGGGAAGAAAGGAGAGGUCCAAGAUUAUGGCUACACAGGCCGCAGUCACUCUUCGAAACUCCAUUUUCUCAUCUGCAAAACGGAGAGAACACCUGCCUUACCACCGUAUUGUGACGAUUAAGCAGGUUGAACUACA